Molecule: unclassified non-coding RNA, 207 nt
Filed under: soil metagenome
Description: partial contains 5.8S ribosomal RNA, internal transcribed spacer 2, and large subunit ribosomal RNA
Source: RNAcentral
AACUGAUACUACCUGCGGGAACCUGCGGAAGGAUCAUUAUAGAGUUUUUAACUCCCAAACCCAUGUGAACUUACCUUUGUUGCCUCGGCGGAGCCUACCCGGUACCUACCCUGUAGCGCCCCGCCGGUGGACUUCUAAACUAUUGUUAUUUUAAUGAUAUCUGAGAGUCUUAUUUUAAUAAGUCAAAACUUUCAGCAACGGAUCUCU